UCGUUGGCUUUGGGAAGGCGCUUCCUCGUAUUAUUUAUAUUUCAGUUUAUUAUGCAAUAUAUUUCCAACUUAUACGACCACAUGAGGAUCAUGCGCAUGCGACAAGUUUGCUCCACAUUUUGACUCUGCGCCGCCGUGCUUCACCCUCGCCCCUCGCCUCGUCACGAAGGAGUCAUCGCCAUUAGCAUCAUCGGAAUGUCGUUGGAACCGUUGCAAUACGUUUGAACGGUCUCCGCGCUCGCUCAUCCAUUUGUGAACAAAGGAGGCCGUGAUUUUGCGUCGUAUGGGCGGCUGCAGUGUUGCGUCCCGUCAGGCCAUGAAAGAAGGAAGGAGGAUAUGAUUUUGCGUCGUAAUGGGUUUUUGUUGUUUGUUCGGAGCAGCGGCUGCAGUGUUGCGUCCCGUCAGGCUCUACUUUGUUGAACACUAAGCUGGACACAUAUCUCUCCAGCGCUUCAGAGACGUCGCUGGCGCCGAAUCUAGCUGUUUCACCGUGGGUCGCCAAAAGAACAGCAGAUCAUUGACUGUCAAUUGUGCGACGCGACACUAUGUGGCACGAAGGAUGUGUACGUGUGAAAUACGUAACUACUGUGUGCGCGGGAUGUUUUGUAUGAUUGUGUCGACACUGGAUACCACUUUCAAG
Ornithodoros turicata is the source of this 640-nucleotide long non-coding RNA. RefSeq lists it as uncharacterized. The record is from RefSeq and is a predicted model, not a curated record. NCBI's taxonomy places the organism in Eukaryota, Metazoa, Arthropoda, Arachnida, Ixodida, Argasidae. The transcript has 6 exons.